UUGCAUGUAAAAAUGUCUGCCCCUCAUUCCUUUAGGGGUAGAAAUACAUCCAUAACAUGCUACAUUAAAAACGGAGUUCUCAGGGCUGCCAACCUUACAGUAGAGGUUGCAUGGUAGUAUAUUUCUCAUACAUAA
RNAcentral lists this small nucleolar RNA (135 nucleotides) under Castor canadensis (American beaver). Its description in RNAcentral is "Small nucleolar RNA U109 (ENSCCNG00000029190.1)". It matches the Rfam family "Small nucleolar RNA U109". The record is from Rfam by way of RNAcentral. Lineage: Eukaryota; Metazoa; Chordata; Mammalia; Rodentia; Castoridae.